RNAcentral lists this long non-coding RNA (264 nucleotides) under Lathyrus oleraceus (garden pea). RNAcentral's name for it is "Pisum sativum (pea) long non-coding RNA (PSAT_LNC023720)". The record is from RNAcentral. Lineage: Eukaryota; Viridiplantae; Streptophyta; Magnoliopsida; Fabales; Fabaceae.
UAUAAGGCUCAAAUUCUCACAAAGGACAUUGAUCAACCACAAAUGAUGCACAAUUUAUAAUUUAGUCAUACUUAUCAUACUAAGAAAGCAAAUAAAGUCACUCACAUCACAUCACAAGUCUUUCUUCAAGAGAACAAAAAAUUACUCACACUUGCAACCCCAAAAUAAACGAAAAAUCAUGCAUUUUAUUAAAAUUGUUUCUUAUAUGAAAACAAAUAAACAAAAGCGAAUGAAGAAAACAAAACAACAAAAAUAAUGACAUCC